This 1325-nucleotide long non-coding RNA is filed under the name Hordeum vulgare. RNAcentral's name for it is "long non-coding RNA (HVUL_LNC013711)". Lineage: Eukaryota; Viridiplantae; Streptophyta; Magnoliopsida; Poales; Poaceae. The record is from RNAcentral.
AAUAUUUGUGUUGUUUCUAUUGUUUUGUGUGAGUAACACAUAUGUUUCGUUUUAUAUUAUUAUUAUACAAAUAAUUACUCAGUGUAUCAGUUGCUUGUCUAUAUUAGACAUGAAAUUGCGAGCGUUCUAAUCCAUCUAUAAUUUCACGGAACACAAAAUUGGCUCAACUCAAAUCAGGUAGGUGGUUGUUGGGUCAGUUGCAUGUCUAUCAUUAGACAUGCAACCGCAAACGUUUUAACCCGAGUGCAAGUGCAUCGGGGCACAAAGCGGCUUCAAUUAGGGUCAGCAAGAGAGUUCUCAGUCUAGUUGCAUGUCCAUCACUAUGCAUGCAAUUGCAAGUAUUGUGAUCCGAUUACAAUUUCACGGACACAAAAGCGAUUGUAAUCGGCUCUCAAAGGGGAGUUGCCGAGUCAGCUGCAUGUCAAUCACUAGACAUGUAAUUGCAACCAUUAUAACCUGGCCGCCUGCACUUGUACACAACAAACUCGGUCGUGAGGGGAAUUGUUGGGGCUAAUUGCAUGUCUACCAUUAGACAUGCAAGUGCAAGCAUUGUAACCGGACUUCAAUAUAUCGGGCACAAAAACGACUUCAAGUGGGUCGAGAGGGGAGUUGUUUGGCCAGUUGCCUGUCCACUAUUAGAGAUGCUACUACAUGCAAUAUAACCCGGCUGCAACUGCAUGUGCACAAAGCGACUGUAAUGGAGUCGAGAGGGGAGUUGUCGGGGCUAGUUGCAAGCGUUGUAAUUCAACUGCAACCGCAGGGGCAUGCAUGUGAUUGCAACUGGGGUCGGGUGAGUUGUCAGGGUCAGCUGCAUGUUCAUCACUAUACAUGCAGCUACCAAAUUUAUAACCCCAAUGCAACUACACGAGCUCAUAUUAACUGCAAUAACAGUUUGAAGGGGGUUGUCACGCCAUGCAACUUCAAGCGUUGUAACCUGGCUGCAACUGCAUGUGCACAAAGCGACUACAACUAUAGAUAGGCUAAUUACAUGUUUGCUUCUUUUUUCUCAUGGCAAAGUUGGUGCAUAUGCUCGUUUUAAUUUUCUUUUUACAUUUUUUUCCAGUAUUCACAUGUGCUUAAGUUGCACGUGACGCAUACAUGCAAAAUUUCAGUGGUCACAACAAUUGUGCAACAUGUUCGACACAAUUUCUUUCUUUACAAAAUAAAUUUUUUUCUACUAACUCACCUUUCGUGCAACCACACACGACGCACGCCAUGUUUGAUUGCAAGAACAACCAUUUGAGACGGGAUCGCUCAUCCAAUUUAUAUUCUACUUAUAUGUACGAGUACGAGUACAAGACACACAUCCCCAUGUUAUCUACUCC